UAAUCUGUCACUUUCACAUAGAGUAGAAUGAGUGGUUUUUUAUAAAAAUUAAUCGAAAAUUGAAUAUUUCGCAGUAUCAUUAUUCUCUAUACAAGCCGAAGGUGGAGUAGAGACGAGGAGAAUAGGAAGUGUACACAAUUAAUGGAGAUCGUUUCGCGUGAUGUUGGCCAUUCCCGUGAAUCGUUCCAACUGACGAAAAGUGAUCGCGUUUGUAUUGGGCUCGCAUAAGAUUAACCGUGGCAUCGUUCCUCCUGUAAACUGUGCGCGUAUCCGUUUGAAAGUGCGAUCGAGAAAAGGUUCGACGCUUGUCAAGCACGAAUUCCAAGACCUUCCGAUCCCUUCCCAAGCGCGGAAAUGUUUCUCUCCUGAUCGAGUAAUGUCCUCACUCCGUUUCUCGCGUAAACGACUGUUCAUGGAUUUCGUAUAAGAUACCAAAACGGUUGGAUAUCGUCCAUCGCGAAGAAGCUCGUUAAUCCAAGAACGGAAAUGGAGAGUUCAGAGGAGCCGACGAGUUUGCAGUCGAUUUGUCACCUGCAUGCCUCGGAGCUGUUCCCGAAACACGCCAACGUCGAGUGCGAAGACGAGUCUCUCACAGUGCCGUUCACACCGUUGAGCGGUGAAUCCAUCGUGGCACUUGGGCGCACGUCGGACGGGGUACUGGCCCUUUCCAAUUACAGGCUAUACUUGCAAUUGAGCCAGGCGUGCUACAACAUCCCCCUCGGUUUGAUAGAACAGUUGGAAGUGAAGGAAAUAUUCUUCCUGCACAUCGGUUGCAAGGAUGCUCGCUCAUUGAGUUGUGCCUUCUCUACGAACGAACAUUGCCUGGAGUGGUUUAAAAGACUACACAAAGUCACGUAUCCGAGGAAGAGUAUAGACGAUAUAUUUGCCUUUGCAUACUACGCUUGGUCCAUGGAGGAAGGCAAGGAGAACAGCAAGCUGGGAAAGGAUAACGUCUCUUACACAGCUACUUUCAAUUCAGAAGUAAGGAAUUCGUCGAACGAUCAUCUAUCCUGUAACUUGAACUACUAUGUCCUUCAGGUGGAACGACUAAAAUUUAAUUUACACGGUACAUGGCGCGUGAGUCAAAUGAAUAAAGAUUAUCGCAUGUGCCUGUCGUACCCGCCUUUGCUUCUGGUUCCUUCUUGUAUCACGGACGAUGUCCUCGAGUCUGUGGGCAAAUUCAGAAGUUUCCGACGAAUCCCUACCGUCGUUUGGAGGCACGUAAACAACGGUGCGGUGAUAGCGCGAAGUAGCCAGCCGGAGGUCGGAUGGCUCGGCUGGAGCAGAAGCGAGCAAGACGAGCUUCUCUUGAAAGCCCUCUCGGAUGCGUGUUCCUACGACAAGGGCGAAACGACCAUGGUAGAUUCCUCCAUCAUGUACCCGGAUGCCGGCGACGAUGGUCUUGUAACGAAUAGUACGAAAAAAGUCUUGAUUGUCGACGCCAGAUCGUAUACGACGGCAGUGGCGAAUAGAGCUCGCGGCGGUGGUUGCGAGUGUCCCGAAUAUUAUCCCAGUUGCGACAUACAAUUCAUGAACUUACCGAACAUUCACUCGAUACGAAAAAGUUUUCACGCGGUGAGACAGCUGUGCGCAUCGGAUGCCGAUCAACCCAAUUGGCUCAGCCUUUUGGAAGGAACGCGGUGGUUGCAGCACAUGUCCGGGUUACUGCGGGCAGCUGUGACUGUAGCAUCGGCAAUCGAGAGAGAUGGCCGGCCGGUGCUGGUGCACUGCAGCGACGGCUGGGACAGAACGCCUCAGAUAGUGGCGCUGGCACAGAUCCUUCUCGAUCCUUACUACCGAACUAUGGAGGGAUUUCAAGUUCUAUGCGAGAGAGAAUGGUUAGACUUCGGGCACAAAUUCGCAGAUCGGUGCGGUCAAACGGUCGGCUGCGAUGACCCGAACGAACGAUGUCCAGUAUUUUUGCAGUGGCUCGACUGCGUCCACCAACUAAUUUUACAAUUCAAGUGCAGCUUUCAAAUGUCUCCCGCGUAUUUCGUGAAGCUCGCUCAACACACGUACUCUCAGCUGUUCGGCACGUUUCUUUGUAACACGAGACACGAGAGGUUACAGUUGAAAAUACGAGAACGUACGUUCUCUGUUUGGCGAUAUCUGAACUCGAGUUCGUUCGUAAAUCAUUUGUACUCUCCCUUGAAGAAUCGAGUGUUAUGGCCAAGUUGUAACGUACGCGACCUUGUUUUAUGGUCUGAAGUAUAUUUAGGUUCCAUGGAAACCUCCCUCGGUAUCGGGGACGACAAGCAGAGAGUGACGAUGAUAGAUAUCGAGGGUGGAGAGAGCGAGGAGCCGCAAGGGCAUAUGAGUAAAACGCGUUCGUACGGUGAUCUGAUGCAUACUCCCGAUCACGCGGCCUAUCUUCAUCGUCGACUCAGCGACCCAAGCGCAUCGGUAGAAAAGAAAUUCGAUUCGUUGACACUCGACACAGAGACGGGCGAGAAGGCGAUGAAACACGCGGCUAAUUGUAGAAUCGAAAGCGCGGUGGAAAGGACCUUGUCGGAAGAAGUGAACAACGCGAAGUGUUACGCGACGAGUGUGGAAGCUUGCACAGCUUCGAACGAUUCGCCGGUGAAUCCGUCGGUGGACAGUUCGACGGACACGCUGAUACCCAGCAAUGAUUCUUUACUCGGUGCGACCGAUAAAGAAACCGAAACGCAGAAAGACUCACCGCCGGACAUCGUGUCCCCUUGGGUCGAGAACAACAGCACCGUCGGUCGCACCGUGUGCUCUUGCAGUCGCAACUACAAUCACAACCACAACGAGGGUAGCGAUGUCAGCGAUACGAGCGCGCCGCUGAUAUCGAGAACACCCAGCAGCGUUUGUCCGGCUUCGCCGAUUUAUCAAGAUCCGGUGCUGGACAACCCCGACAGAUUGGACGACGUCGACGGUCUUCCCGUUAUACAUUGCGACGUUCAGAUGCGCCUCCAACAGAUCAUCGUCGAACAUAAGUUGAAGGAGGAAGCCUUGAGGAAGGAGUUACACACGACGAGAAUGGCUCUGAUCAAACAAGUCAGUAAUCACAACGCGGAGACCGAUCGUGUCGACGAUAUCGGAUCGUUACCCGAUUCGGUGGAAAGUACCGGUGAUCACGGAGAAUCUUUACCCUCGGACAUGUCGUGGGAAGCGGUGGAGGAAUUGGGCCCUGCUCCCACCCUCUGGGUACCCGAUCACGCGGUGAGUCGAUGCAUGGGAUGCGACACGGAAUUUUGGUUGGGGAGACGCAAACAUCACUGCAGAUGUUGCGGUAAAAUUUUCUGCGCUGAUUGUUCCGAAAACUCGACUCCGUUGCCCAGCGAGCAGCUGUACAACCCUGUGAGGGUGUGCAGCGAAUGUUUCUCGCGGCUUCACCAUCACACGAGCACUUGUCAGUGCAAUUUUCGUCACCAGAGUAAAGUGGAGAACGAUACCGCGGAACUAACGUCGAAUUCGGAGAACUUGAUCCCUUGUCCGAGACCGAAGGGAUUGAACAUGACGAAGGACAGCUGCUGCGACAACUUGCUGCAGAUCGUGCACCAAAAGGCGCAGCCCCCGGUUACAGCAGCCACGGUCAAUUGAGACCUCGCCCGUGCGAGGAACGAACGUAGCAUUUGGGUUUGGUCUAUUCGGCUUUCGACGAUGCGAAAAGUUUGUUAACUUUACGCGGGGAGCUACGAUCGAUUGGCUGCGAUACGUGUUCUACCAUUCAUAUGCAUGCGUGGUACGCGAACAACUACAAGCCAAUAACCAUCAUCACGCAGUUUUAGAUACUUUGAGCGAUCCAGUAUUUAUUGCUAGAGUAAUCGUUUGUACGAAGAAAAAGAAGAGUGUACAGUGCAUCGGAUUAAGAGAGAGGAAGUACGUCCGUGUGUAUGAGUACGUGAACGCGUGUGUGUGUGUGUGAGAAACAGAGAAAAAGAGAGAACGAAUCGGUAUACGAAAAAGGUUGCAUGCACCUUAUCCGUACGCAUAGGAAGAGUCGACUUCUAGCGAAGAGAUACCUGACUCCUUCGAGAGCGGAACGCGAGUUCCCUAAUGUAUAGGAGAGAUGUUAUCCUCUUGUACUCUUCGAGGUACAGCGAGGCGAGGCCGAGGAAUCUUUUUGGAUAGGCUGUGACUGAUGUCUAGUUUUGGACACCAACUACGCGAGUGAGAUUCUGAAGCGGCGACGCGUUUCUUAGAAUCUGCGUAGCGUUCCUUAUGAUAUCGACCUCGCCCUUCGUGUCGUCCGCAUUUUGGAAUUGUACCAGAAUUACGAGAUACGUUGUCACGACGCCUGCCAUCUGAAACACGUGCCCAGAUUAUACGCACGUUCUCUGAACAAUUGAGAUCUAGUCUUACCGACGUGAUCAGAGUCCUGUCCAAGUCGAAGAGACCGCAGGGGGAAAACUCGAGAGGCCGAUGCAACAGCUGAAGCGAGAAUAUUUCCAGUUCCUGUCGGGUGUUCGCCUCGAAGCUACAAGACAGCAAACGACUGACGAGAACCGCAGUUCGUUUCCCCUGAAACUCCGAGAUCAUUUUCUUCCGAGGAACUUAGCUUCUAUCCUGUACACAUACCUCGACGACCGUGAAAUAACUGGGCUGGACGAUUAUCAGCAUUCUAGUCACG
This is an RNA transcript of Ceratina calcarata, 4597 nucleotides long. It is a transcript of the gene named myotubularin-related protein 3, with no coding region annotated. The record is from RefSeq and is a predicted model, not a curated record. The transcript is spliced from 15 exons. Lineage: Eukaryota; Metazoa; Arthropoda; Insecta; Hymenoptera; Apidae.